Molecule: ribosomal RNA, 460 nt
Filed under: uncultured bacterium
Lineage: Bacteria
Description: partial 16S ribosomal RNA
Rfam family: Bacterial small subunit ribosomal RNA
Source: RNAcentral
CCUACGGGUGGCAGCAGUGAGGAAUAUUGGUCAAUGGGCGCGAGCCUGAACCAGCCAAGUAGCGUGAAGGAUGACUGCCCUACGGGUUGUAAACUUCUUUUAUAAAGGAAUAAAGUGAGGCACGUGUGCCUUUUUGUAUGUACUUUAUGAAUAAGGAUCGGCUCACUCCGUGCCAGCAGCCGCGGUAAUACGGAGGAUCCGAGCGUUAUCCGGAUUUGGUGGGUUUAAAGGGAGCGUAGGUGGGUUGUUAAGUCAGUUGUGAAAGGUUGCGGCUCAACCGUAGAAUUGCAUUUGAUACUGGCAGUCUUGAGUACAGUUGAGGUAGGCGGAAUUCGUGGUGUAGCGGUGAAAUGCGUAGAUAUCACGAAGAACUCCGAUUGCGAAGGCAGCUUACUAAACUGCCACUGACAUUGAUGCUCGAAAGUGUGGGUAUCAAACAGGAUUAGAUACCCUGGUAGUC